ACACUGCUGAGGAGUCCCAUACUAGGACGAAACGGCAGUCCAGUGC
This 46-nucleotide non-coding RNA is filed under the name Schistosoma margrebowiei. Lineage: Eukaryota; Metazoa; Platyhelminthes; Trematoda; Strigeidida; Schistosomatidae. The record is from RNAcentral.